This 500-nucleotide ribosomal RNA is filed under the name uncultured bacterium. Its description in RNAcentral is "partial 16S ribosomal RNA". It matches the Rfam family "Bacterial small subunit ribosomal RNA", at positions 30 to 523 of the family's 1533-position model. The record is from RNAcentral.
AUUGAACGCUGGCGGAAUGCUUUACACAUGCAAGUCGAACGGCAGCACGGACUUCGGUCUGGUGGCGAGUGGCGAACGGGUGAGUAAUGUAUCGGAACGUGCCCAGUCGUGGGGGAUAACGUAGUGAAAAUUACGCUAAUACCGCAUACGGUCUAUGGAUGAAAGCGGGGGAUCGCAAGACCUCGCGCGAUUGGAGCGGCCGAUAUCAGAUUAGGUAGUUGGUGGGGUAAAGGCCCACCAAGCCAACGAUCUGGAGCUGGUCUGAGAGGACGACCAGCCACACUGGAACUGAGACACGGUCCAGACUCCUACGGGAGGCAGCAGUGGGGAAUUUUGGACAAUGGGCGAAAGCCUGAUCCAGCCAUUCCGCGUGCAGGAUGAAGGCCCUCGGGUUGUAAACUGCUUUUGUACAGAACGAAAAGGUUUCUACUAAUACUAGGAGCUCAUGACGGUACUGUAAGAAUAAGCACCGGCUAACUACGUGCCAGCCGCCGCUGUAA